CAAUGGCCGGUACAAUGGGCUGCCAAGGGGCGACCCGGAGCUAAUCCCAUAAAGCCGGUCUCAGUCCGGAUUGUAGGCUGCAACUCGCCUGCAUGAAGUCGGAGUUGCUAGUAACCGCAAGUCAGCACGUUGCGGUGAAUAUGUUCCCGGGCCUU
This 155-nucleotide ribosomal RNA is filed under the name uncultured Chloroflexota bacterium. RNAcentral describes it as "uncultured Chloroflexi bacterium partial 16S ribosomal RNA". It matches the Rfam family "Bacterial small subunit ribosomal RNA", at positions 1228 to 1382 of the family's 1533-position model. Lineage: Bacteria; Bacillati; Chloroflexota. The record is from RNAcentral.